AAAAAUGUUUAUAGUUUGAUUAAUUUAUUUAAAGUUUAUUUUACAUAUAAAUUUUAGUGUUAAUUUUAAAUUUAUUUUAAUAAUAAAUUAAUUAAUUUAUAGUAAUUAAUAUUAAGUAUUUAAGAAAUUAAGAUUUAGUAAUAUUUAAAUUAAUAACAAAUUUUGUGCCAGCAGUUGCGGUUAAACAUAAAUUAAAUUAAAUUUUAUUAGUAAUUAAUAAAUAAAUUUAUUAAUAAUUUAAAAUUUAAAUUAUUAGGUGAAAUUUUAAUUUAAUAUAAUAUUAAUUGAAUUUUAUGAUUUAAUAAAUUUUAUUAAAAACUAGGAUUAGAUACCCUAUUAUGAAAAUUUUAAAUUUAAAUACUAAAAUAGUAAGUGAUUAUUCAUUGAAACUUAAAUAAUUUGGCGGUAUUUUAGUUCAUUUAGAGGAAUCUGUUUAAUAAUUGAUAAUCCACGAAUAAAUUUACUUAAUUUUUAAUUUUGUAUAUCGUUGUUAAAAAAAUAUUUUUUAAUAAAAAUAAUAUUUAAAAAUUUAUAUUUAUAAAUUAAAUCAGAUCAAGAUGCAGAUUAUAAUUAAGAAUAUAAUGGAUUACAAUAAAUUUAUUUAUAUGGACAUUAAUUUGAAAAAUUUAAUUAAAAGUGGAUUUAAAUGUAAUUUUAUUUAAUUUAAUAAAAUGAUUAUAAAUUGGAAUAUGUACAUAUUGCCCGUCGCUUUCAUAUGUUCAUAUUUAUAUUAUUUAAAUAUAAAUAAUAAAUUGAAAUAAGUCGUAACAAAGUAGAGAUACUGGAAAGUGUUUCUAGAAAGA
RNAcentral lists this non-coding RNA (803 nucleotides) under Spilosoma lubricipeda. Lineage: Eukaryota; Metazoa; Arthropoda; Insecta; Lepidoptera; Erebidae. The record is from RNAcentral.